UAUAAUGUACAUUUUAUAUUUCAGAUGAAUUUACAACUGAUUUUCUGGAUUGGACUGAUCAGUUCAGUUUGCUAUGUGUUUGGCCAAGCAGAUGAAAAUAGAUGUUUAAAAGCAAAUGCCAAAUCAUGUGGAGAAUGUAUACAAGCAGGGCCAAAUUGUGGAUGGUGUACAAAUUCAACAUUUUUACAAGAAGGAAUGCCUACUUCUGCACGAUGUGAUGAUUUAGAAGCCUUAAAAAAGAAGGGUUGUCAUCCAGAUGAUAUAGAAAAUCCCAGAGGUUCCAAAGAUAUAAAGAAAAAUAAAAAUGUAACCAAUCGUAGCAAAGGAACUGCAGAGAAGCUCAAACCAGAAGAUAUUACGCAGAUCCAACCACAGCAGCUGGUUUUGCAAUUACGAUCAGGGGAGCCUCAAACAUUUGCAUUAAAAUUCAAGAGAGCUGAAGACUAUCCCAUUGAUCUCUACUACCUAAUGGACCUUUCUUACUCUAUGAAAGAUGACUUGGAGAAUGUAAAAAGUCUUGGAACAGAUCUGAUGAAUGAAAUGAAGAGGAUUACUUCGGACUUCCGAAUAGGGUUUGGCUCAUUUGUGGAGAAGACUGUGAUGCCUUACAUUAGUACAACACCAGCUAAGCUCAAGAACCCUUGCACAAGUGAACAGAACUGCACCAGCCCAUUUAGCUACAAAAAUGUGCUCAGUCUUACUGAUAAAGGGGGAGUAUUUAAUGAUCUUGUUGGUAAACAGCGCAUAUCUGGAAAUUUGGAUUCUCCAGAAGGUGGUUUUGAUGCAAUCAUGCAAGUUGCAGUUUGUGGGUCAUUGAUUGGCUGGAGGAAUGUUACACGGCUGCUGGUAUUUUCUACGGAUGCUGGGUUUCACUUUGCUGGAGAUGGGAAACUUGGUGGCAUUGUUUUACCAAAUGAUGGACAGUGUCACCUGGAAAAUGAUAUGUACACAAUGAGCCAUUAUUAUGAUUAUCCUUCUAUCGCUCACCUUGUCCAGAAAUUAAGUGAAAAUAACAUUCAGACAAUUUUUGCAGUUACUGAAGAAUUUCAGCCCGUUUACAAGGAGCUGAAAAAUUUGAUCCCUAAGUCAGCAGUAGGAACAUUAUCUGCAAAUUCCAGCAAUGUAAUUCAGUUGAUCAUUGAUGCAUACAAUUCCCUUUCCUCAGAAGUAAUUUUGGAAAACAGCAAAUUGCCAGAAGGAGUAACAAUAAAUUAUAAAUCUUACUGCAAAAAUGGGGUGAAUGGAACAGGGGAAAAUGGAAGAAAAUGCUCCAAUAUUUCCAUUGGAGAUGAGGUUCAAUUUGAAAUUAGCAUAACUUCAAAUAAAUGUCCAAAUAAGAAUUCUGAAACCAUUAAAAUUAAACCUCUGGGCUUCACUGAAGAAGUAGAGAUUAUUCUUCAGUUCAUCUGUGAGUGUGACUGCCAAAGUGAAGGCAUCCCUAGCAGUCCAAAGUGUCACGAAGGGAAUGGAACGUUUGAGUGUGGAGCUUGCAGGUGCAAUGAGGGACGUGUUGGCAGACAUUGUGAAUGUAGCACAGAUGAAGUUAACAGUGAAGAUAUGGAUGCCUAUUGCAGGAAAGAAAACAGUUCAGAAAUCUGUAGUAACAACGGAGAGUGUGUCUGUGGACAGUGUGUUUGUAGGAAGAGGGAUAAUACAAAUGAAAUUUAUUCUGGCAAAUUCUGCGAGUGUGAUAAUUUCAACUGUGAUAGAUCCAAUGGCUUAAUUUGUGGAGGAAAUGGUGUUUGCAAGUGUCGUGUGUGUGAAUGUAAUCCCAACUACACAGGCAGUGCGUGUGACUGCUCUCUGGACACGACUUCAUGCAUGGCCACAAACGGACAGAUCUGCAAUGGCCGGGGCGUCUGUGAGUGUGGUGCCUGUAAAUGCACGGAUCCCAAGUUUCAAGGGCCAACUUGUGAGAUGUGUCAGACCUGCCUUGGCGUCUGUGCUGAGCAUAAAGAAUGUGUUCAGUGCAGAGCCUUCAAUAAAGGAGAAAAGAAAGACACAUGUGCACAGGAAUGUUCCCAUUUUAACAUUACCAAGGUUGAAAGUCGGGACAAAUUACCCCAGCCAGGCCAGGUGGAUCCCCUGUCCCACUGUAAGGAGAAGGAUGUUGACGAUUGCUGGUUCUAUUUCACAUAUUCAGUGAAUGGGAACAAUGAGGCCAUUGUACACGUUGUAGAGACUCCAGAGUGUCCCACUGGUCCAGACAUCAUUCCAAUUGUAGCUGGUGUGGUUGCUGGAAUUGUUCUGAUUGGUCUUGCAUUGCUGCUAAUUUGGAAGCUUUUAAUGAUAAUUCACGACAGAAGGGAAUUUGCCAAAUUUGAAAAGGAAAAAAUGAAUGCCAAAUGGGACACGCAAGAAAAUCCGAUUUACAAGAGUCCUAUUAAUAAUUUCAAGAAUCCAAACUAUGGACAUAAAGCUGGUCUCUAAGUUGCCGCAUUCAAAACUACUAAAAGAGAAACCAUAACAGCACAUUCUCUGCUAUGGAGGACAUUCUCCAAUCAACUCUCCAGUACAGAAUGGACUCAGGAAUGAAAUAAUGCCAGUUCCUAGGGUGAAAAUCCUAUUUAUAAGAGUGCUGUGACAACUGUUGUCAAUCCGAAGUAUGAGGGAAAAUGAGCACUACCUAUACCAAUUUUACAACAUUGAAUGCAAAAUAGUGAAUUUCAUAGUCACAGAGGAAGAUAGCUUUAGGGCACUGUCCCCAUGGGUUUUACUUGUGUAGGUUUUGAAAAUGUAUAAUAUGUAUAAUUAAAAAAUGUUUUUUGUUAUUUUGAAAAUAAUAUUAUAAUCAAUGCCAGGGACUGACAUAAUACUUGAGACAGGAUGGUUAUCCUUGUCAGCUAAGGUCACUUCGUGCCUUUUUUUACCUUUUCUUCCUGGACUAUUGAAAUCAAGCUCUUGUUUGAUUAAGUGAUAUUUCUAGAAUGACUGAAAGGACAGUAGUUAAAGUAGUGAGUAUGCUGAGAGUUUCUUUUAAUCAAGUAUUCAAACUGAUUUUUAGCUUUAUAGAUAUGUCAUUUUCAGUUAUUAAAAAAAAUCCAAAGUAAUCGUCUUACUAGCUGGCUUAGAAAUUGUUUUAAAUUUAUUUUGCUAUUUUCCUAGACAUGAUUGAUGACAUAUCUGAAAGAUGAAUGAAUAUAUUAGGAGUUAGUUGUGUAAAAUAGUUUUGAAAUAUUUGAUAUGCAAAGGCCAUGGGAAAAUGUCAGUUAGGAAGGGAAAAACAGCUUGAAAAGCUGUGUGCCAUUUUAAGAAUUACUUAAUUCUUGGAACUUUUCAUGCCUUCUCUAUAAAUUCAAGCCUUGGAUAAAAGUAUUGGGAAAUUUUCUGCAAAAAGUUCUUAAUUUAUCAUUAUUUACCUAAAGGCCUUAAAUUACAUAGUAUUUUUUGAAUUGGCAACUUUUGGGUUAUGUUAUUUUGUUUAAAGCCUGGUGCUUUUUAUCACCACUUCUAAUCAUUUAACGUAUUUACAAUUUUGAAGUAAGACGUUUUUUAAUUAGUACUUUAAUUAGUAGCUGUAAAUUUGCCUUUUUAAUGAACAGGUGAAGUUGUACUGUGGUUUAAGCAACAGCUAUCACUGUGCCAGGCAUGCUUUCAGUUAGUUAGUGCUGUAUAACAGGCCACUGUACAUUACUCCUCACUGUUUGAGUUGACCAUUUUGUUUCAUACUGGUCACAUUCUUAUUUUAAGUGCCUUUUAAUUUUAACAGUUCACUUUUUACAAUGCUGUUUACUGAAGUUAUUUAUUAAAUAAAAAUGCAUAAAAUAACAAA
Molecule: RNA transcript, 3772 nt
Organism: Myotis lucifugus (little brown bat)
Lineage: Eukaryota; Metazoa; Chordata; Mammalia; Chiroptera; Vespertilionidae
Gene: ITGB1
Gene name: integrin subunit beta 1
Exons: 17
Source: RefSeq, a predicted model, not a curated record